GAUGAACGCUAGCUACAGGCUUAACACAUGCAAGUCGCGGGGCAGCAUGACAUCAGCUUGCUGAUGUUGAUGGCGACCGGCGCACGGGUGAGUAACACGUAUGCAACCUGCCCCUGUCAGGGGGACAACCCGCCGAAAGGCGGGCUAAACCCGCGUACAUGCCACCGGGGCAUCCCGGAGGCAGGAAAGGCUUCGGCCGGACAGGGAUGGGCAUGCGGCGCAUUAGGCAGUAGGCGGGGUAACGGCCCACCUAACCGACGAUGCGUAGGGGUUCUGAGAGGAAGGUCCCCCACACUGGUACUGAGACACGGACCAG
This 316-nucleotide ribosomal RNA is filed under the name uncultured bacterium. RNAcentral's name for it is "bacterial SSU rRNA". It matches the Rfam family "Bacterial small subunit ribosomal RNA", at positions 28 to 334 of the family's 1533-position model. The record is from RNAcentral.